This 491-nucleotide ribosomal RNA is filed under the name Clostridioides difficile. Its description in RNAcentral is "bacterial LSU rRNA". It matches the Rfam family "Bacterial large subunit ribosomal RNA", at positions 1168 to 1665 of the family's 2925-position model. Lineage: Bacteria; Bacillati; Bacillota; Clostridia; Peptostreptococcales; Peptostreptococcaceae. The record is from RNAcentral.
AGAUUUCCGGGGCUAAACCUUCCUACCGAAGCGACGGCAUCAGUAAGUCAGGGUAGGGGAGCUUCCCAUACGGGUUGAGGCAUGACCGUAAGGACAUGGGGACAGUAUGGGAGUGAGAAUGUUGGCAUGAGUAGCGAGAUGUGGGUGAGAAUCCCACAGGCCGUAAACCCAAGGUUUCCAGGGGAAGGUUCGUCCGCCCUGGGUUAGUCGGGACCUAAGCUGAGGCCGAAAGGCGUAGGUGAUGGACAACAGGUUGAUAUUCCUGUACUACCGAUAACCGUUUGAGAGAAGGGAUGACACAGUAGGAUAAGCUAAGCACACUGUUGGUUAUGUGUGCCCAAGCAUUGAGGCAGUCAAAGUAGGCAAAUCCGCUUUGAUAAUGCUGGGAUGUGAUGGGGAGCGAAAUUUAGUAGCGAAGUAGCUGAUUUCACACUGUCAAGAAAAGUCUCUAUCGAGGUUAAAGGUACCCGUACCGCAAACCGACACAGGUG